Molecule: ribosomal RNA, 438 nt
Filed under: uncultured bacterium
Lineage: Bacteria
Description: bacterial SSU rRNA
Rfam family: Bacterial small subunit ribosomal RNA
Source: RNAcentral
AACGCGAAGAACCUUACCUGGGUUUGACAUACCAUGAAAAGCGCAGAGAUGCGUAAUAGUCGCAAGACACAUGGAUACAGGUGCUGCAUGGCUGUCGUCAGCUCGUGUCGUGAGAUGUUGGGUUAAGUCCCGCAACGAGCGCAACCCUUUCCCUUAUUUGCCAGCAUUAAGUUGGGCACUCUAGGGGUACUGCCGAUGAUAAAUCGGAGGAAGGUGGGGAUGAGGUCAAGUCAUCAUGGCCCUUAUGUCCAGGGCAACACACGUACUACAAUGGCCAAGACAAAGCGAAGCAACACCGAGAGGUGAAGCCAAUCGCAAAAACAUGGUCUCAGUUCGGAUUGUGGUCUGCAACUCGACCACAUGAAGUUGGAAUCUCUAGUAAUCGCAGAUCAGCAGGCUGCGGUGAAUACGUUCUCGGGCCUUGUACACACCGCAUAC